UGCCAGCACCCCGAGUGGUCGGGACGUUUAUUGGGCCUAAAGCAUCCGUAGCCGGUUCUACAAGUCUUCCGUUAAAUCCAGCUGCUUAACAGAUGGGCUGCGGAAGAUACUAUGGAGCUAGGAGGCGGGAGAGGCAAGCGGUACUCGAUGGGUAGGGGUAAAAUCCGUUGAUCCAUUGAAGACCACCAGUGGCGAAGGCGGCUUGCCAGAACGCGCUCGACGGUGAGGGAUGAAAGCUGGGGGAGCAAACCGG
This 253-nucleotide ribosomal RNA is filed under the name uncultured bacterium. RNAcentral describes it as "partial 16S ribosomal RNA". It matches the Rfam family "Archaeal small subunit ribosomal RNA", at positions 474 to 727 of the family's 1478-position model. The record is from RNAcentral.